AUCAUCUCUCUUUCUCUAAUUCCAAUUUCUAACGAUUGAUGCGAUCAUCUCUCUUUCUCUGAAUUUGUUGUCUUGAUUCACUCAAAUAAUGGAAACCAAAGAAUCAGUCAACGCCGAUCUUGAUGAGAAGUCAUCAAAGUUCUGAUCACUUGCCCUUAUUCCUGGGAGUCUCUGUCAUAUUACACGCAAGGUCUACAAAGUCGUGUCUUGCAACUGUGCUCCAUCGA
Arabidopsis thaliana (thale cress) is the source of this 227-nucleotide long non-coding RNA. RefSeq annotates it as other RNA. NCBI's taxonomy places the organism in Eukaryota, Viridiplantae, Streptophyta, Magnoliopsida, Brassicales, Brassicaceae. The transcript has 2 exons. The record is from RefSeq.